This 470-nucleotide ribosomal RNA is filed under the name Salmonella enterica subsp. enterica serovar Meleagridis. RNAcentral's name for it is "partial 23S ribosomal RNA". It matches the Rfam family "Bacterial large subunit ribosomal RNA", at positions 2386 to 2850 of the family's 2925-position model. The record is from RNAcentral. Lineage: Bacteria; Pseudomonadati; Pseudomonadota; Gammaproteobacteria; Enterobacterales; Enterobacteriaceae.
GGCGCGAGCAGGUGCGAAAGCAGGUCAUAGUGAUCCGGUGGUUCUGAAUGGAAGGGCCAUCGCUCAACGGAUAAAAGGUACUCCGGGGAUAACAGGCUGAUACCGCCCAAGAGUUCAUAUCGACGGCGGUGUUUGGCACCUCGAUGUCGGCUCAUCACAUCCUGGGGCUGAAGUAGGUCCCAAGGGUAUGGCUGUUCGCCAUUUAAAGUGGUACGCGAGCUGGGUUUAGAACGUCGUGAGACAGUUCGGUCCCUAUCUGCCGUGGGCGCUGGAGAACUGAGGGGGGCUGCUCCUAGUACGAGAGGACCGGAGUGGACGCAUCACUGGUGUUCGGGUUGUCAUGCCAAUGGCACUGCCCGGUAGCUAAAUGCGGAAGAGAUAAGUGCUGAAAGCAUCUAAGCACGAAACUUGCCCCGAGAUGAGUUCUCCCUGAGACUUAGAGUCUCCUGAAGGAACGUUGAAGACGACGA